RNAcentral lists this unclassified non-coding RNA (256 nucleotides) under Borreliella burgdorferi (Lyme disease spirochete). RNAcentral's name for it is "partial 5S-23S ribosomal RNA intergenic spacer". The record is from RNAcentral. Lineage: Bacteria; Pseudomonadati; Spirochaetota; Spirochaetia; Spirochaetales; Borreliaceae.
CUGCGAGUUCGCGGGAGAGUAGGUUAUUGCCAGGGUUUUUAUUUUUAUACUUUAAACUUUGAUUUUAUUUUUAUGUUUUUUAAAUAUUGGUGUUUUUGAAUGUGUUGUUUAAAUAACAUAAAAAAUAAAAUAUAUAUACUGACAUGCAUUAAACAAAGAUAUAUAUUAUUUUAUGUUGUAUAAAUAAAUUGGCAAAAUAGAGAUGGAAGAUAAAAAUAUGGUCAAAGUAAUAAGAGUCUAUGGUGAAUGCCUAGGA